RNAcentral lists this ribosomal RNA (207 nucleotides) under uncultured bacterium. RNAcentral describes it as "partial 16S ribosomal RNA". It matches the Rfam family "Bacterial small subunit ribosomal RNA", at positions 568 to 774 of the family's 1533-position model. The record is from RNAcentral.
UUCGUAGGCGGCCUGCCAAGUCAGAGGUGAAAUCUAACGGCUUAACCGUUAACCUGCCUUUGAAACUGGCAGACUUGAGUAUUGGAGAGGAAAGCGGAAUUCUUGGUGUAGCGGUGAAAUGCGUGGAUAUCAAGAGGAACACCCGUGGCGAAGGCGGCUUUCUGGCCAAAUACUGACGCUGAGGAACGAAAGCUAGGGGAGCAAACG